RNAcentral lists this ribosomal RNA (291 nucleotides) under Triticum aestivum (bread wheat). Its description in RNAcentral is "partial small subunit ribosomal RNA". The record is from RNAcentral. Lineage: Eukaryota; Viridiplantae; Streptophyta; Magnoliopsida; Poales; Poaceae.
AUGCAAUUCAUAGUGAACAAGGCGUAUGCCAAGAAGCGACCGCGGUACCCCAACGAGUGGUUCGCCAUGCUCGCCUUUCUCACCACCGGCCACCAGCGUGCCUGGGACGCCGGCCGCGGCAGUAGGAAGGCCACCGUGAGCGUCGCGGAGCACUACGACAGCGUAGUGGCCACCUACGUCAGCGAUGCCCAGCUUGGGCACGCCUCCGCGCACCCCAAGGUGCGGUACCUCCACAAACCGGAGGGUCUCUCCGAGGACAACCUCAUUGCUCUUGCCGACGAUGAGGGUUAA